CAGAAAUCUGGAUUUGUGUGGAUUUGUGUCUGAAUGUAUGUGGCAUCUCAUCUUUAAAAUGUUGACAAGGAGGAGUUCCCAUCAUGGUGCAGUGGUUCAUGAAUCCGACUAGGAACCAUGAGAGGAACUCCCUGGACUACUAAUUCUUGAUUUCUCACUUAGCUGGGCAUUAAGGAGGAAACAGAAGCCAGGAGCUUCUAGGCAGAGAACAGUGUUGUCACAACAGAGAACAAAAGAGGAAAUAA
This is a non-coding RNA of Sus scrofa (pig), 245 nucleotides long. The record is from RefSeq and is a predicted model, not a curated record. NCBI's taxonomy places the organism in Eukaryota, Metazoa, Chordata, Mammalia, Artiodactyla, Suidae.